Pantherophis guttatus is the source of this 1192-nucleotide long non-coding RNA. RefSeq lists it as uncharacterized. Lineage: Eukaryota; Metazoa; Chordata; Lepidosauria; Squamata; Colubridae. The record is from RefSeq and is a predicted model, not a curated record.
UGGGCUGCCCACCUGGGAAGCUUGGUCUCCUCCCAAACGCGCCUCCCGCAGCCUUGGCUGGGAACCGACCCAGCCGGAGAAUACCGACUAUCGAGCUCAAACCUAGUGAUGUCACCUAUCAAACGUGAGCCUCAUUUCUUAUUUCGCUCGCCUCCUUAAAGCCACACUCCGCCGUCUUCCAGCUGCCCCUUCCUGCCGGAGAGAGCAGGAAAAGUGGCCUUCAAAAAAGGCUCAUUGGAAUCCAAAGGCAUUGUAGAAAACAUACUGUGUGGAUGUUAUCUGUGUAGAAUCCACAAUGGACUGAGAUUCAGUGUCUCCACUAUGUCAAAAUAGAACAGCCUUCUCUCAACAGAGGGGAUGGGGAUACAACAUCAUCUAUCUCUAGUGUACAACACAGUCCUUUCAACAGUUCCAAGAAGGCUCCACACCAAUUUGCCCCACUCCGGUGACCCUGAUGACACAGAUAAACCUCCAGGUGAUCUUAAUGACCUGCUAAAAGAAUGUCAAUGUCCAGCUGUCUGCAAGGAGUAUACAUCCUUCCAUUCCACACCAACCAGUCAGAGCUGAAGAAGCUUCUUGGAUUAGAAGUGAAACGUCUUCAAAGAAAAACCAGAAAGUCCAGUUGCCUCUUGAAAAAAAGCAAACCUUUGGGAGGUUUAUUUGUUAGAUUUAUACAAUGGCUUUCGUUAAGGAGCUCAAGGCAUCAUAUAGAUAGUCCUUGAGUUUCAACCAUUUCUGUAGUGAUUGUUCAAAGUUAUACUGACACUGAAAGAAAUUUACUUAUGGAUGGUGCACACACUUAAUGUUAGGAAAUGAUUUUACCUAACUUGUUGGGUUGGCAAUAUAUAAACCAUCAAUAUUGCUUUAAGACUGCUGUAUUGCUGUAUUGCAUCAUACUGUGUCCUGAUUGGUUAGCUCUGUAGCCAAAGUCCUUAAGAGGGAGCUAGAAACCUGGUUUAUCUCUCUUUGCUCUCUUUGCUACUCUUUACUGCUGCUUUGCUGUGUUUGCUACUGUUUGCAAAUAUAGAAGAACUGUUAUUGUGUAUGACUACAACGACUGGUAAGAAGACUUUGUUAUUGGAUUAUCCCUGGACUAUUGUUUGAUAUCUAUUGCUUUAUCUGUGUAUGACCUGGACUGUUUAAUGGACUGUGCCUUAUUGCUAUUUCCUGAUAGUAAACACAACUCAGUGUA